This 451-nucleotide ribosomal RNA is filed under the name uncultured bacterium. RNAcentral describes it as "bacterial SSU rRNA". It matches the Rfam family "Bacterial small subunit ribosomal RNA", at positions 329 to 795 of the family's 1533-position model. The record is from RNAcentral.
GUCCAGACUCCUACGGGAGGCAGCAGUGGGGGAUAUUGCACAAUGGGGGAAACCCUGAUGCAGCGACGCCGCGUGGGCGAAGAAGUAUUUCGGUAUGUAAAGCCCUAUCAGCAGGGAAGAAGAAAUGACGGUAUCUGAGUAAGAAGCACCGGCUAAAUACGUGCCAGCAGCCGCGGUAAUACGUAUGGUGCAAGCGUUAUCCGGAUUUACUGGGUGUAAAGGGAGCGCAGGCGGCACGGCAAGCCUGAUGUGAAAGCCCGCGGCCCAACCGCGGGACUGCUCUUGGAACUGCGUGGCUGGAGUGCAGGAGGGGCAGGCGGAAUUCCUGGUGUAGCGGUGAAAUGCGUAGAUAUCAGGAGGAACACCGGUGGCGAAGGCGGCCUGCUGGACUGCAACUGACGUUGAGGCCCGAAAGCGUGGGGAGCAAACAGGAUUAGAUACCCGAGUAUCU